Molecule: ribosomal RNA, 440 nt
Filed under: uncultured bacterium
Lineage: Bacteria
Description: bacterial SSU rRNA
Rfam family: Bacterial small subunit ribosomal RNA
Source: RNAcentral
CUGGCGGCAUGCCUACCAUGCGAGUCGAACGAUGCUUUCGGGCAUAGUGGCGCACGGGUGCGUAACGCGUGGGAAUCUGCCCUUAGGUUCGGAAUAACAGCGAGAAAUUGCUGCUAAUACCGGAUGAUGGCGUAAGUCCAAAGAUUUAUCGCCUAGGGAUGAGCCCGCGUAGGAUUAGCUAGUUGGUGUGGUAAAGGCGCACCAAGGCGACGAUCCUUAGCUGGUCUGAGAGGAUGAUCAGCCACACUGGGACUGAGACACGGCCCAGACUCCUACGGGAGGCAGCAGUGGGGAAUAUUGGACAAUGGGCGCAAGCCUGAUCCAGCAAUGCCGCGUGAGUGAUGAAGGCCUUAGGGUUGUAAAGCUCUUUUACCCGGGAUGAUAAUGACAGUACCGGGAGAAUAAGCCCCGGCUAACUCCGUGCCAGCAGCCGCGGUAAU